CCCUUAGAUGUUCUGGGCCGCACGCGCGCUACACUGAUGCAUUCAACGAGUUUCUUCCUGGUCCGAGAGGAAUGGGUAACCUUUUGAAAGUGCAUCGUGAUAGGGAUAGACUAUUGCAAUUAUUGGUCUUCAACGAGGGAUUCCUAGUAGACGUAGUUCAUCAGACUGCAUCGAUUACGUCCCUGCCCUUUGUACACACCGCCCGUCGCUCCUACCGAUUGAAUGCUCAGGUGAGCCAUUCGGACUUUCAUCAUGCUGGUUUCCAGUUUUGAUGAAGGAAAGUCUUGCGAACCUUAUCAUUUAGAGGAAGGAGAAGUCGUAACA
Molecule: ribosomal RNA, 324 nt
Filed under: uncultured eukaryote
Lineage: Eukaryota
Description: partial 18S ribosomal RNA
Rfam family: Eukaryotic small subunit ribosomal RNA
Source: RNAcentral